This is a long non-coding RNA of Pogoniulus pusillus (Red-fronted tinkerbird), 375 nucleotides long. RefSeq lists it as uncharacterized. The transcript is spliced from 3 exons. The record is from RefSeq and is a predicted model, not a curated record. NCBI's taxonomy places the organism in Eukaryota, Metazoa, Chordata, Aves, Piciformes, Lybiidae.
AAACAAGGCUGGGGCUAGACUGUAACAGAGGACCAGCCACUGCAGUAUCCCAAGUCACUAGCAACUAUGGAACACUGAUAUGCACUUACUGACUGGUGGCACCUUUGUCUGUCAAGUAAGUGGAAGGAACAAGAACUGUCUGCUUCUCCACACCCAAAAUGCAGGAAGCCUCAUCUAGUGUCAUAGAGGUUUCAACAGUGAUACAUUUAGGCUGGAGGUUGUACGUCUUCUGCUCUGCUUCUCAGCCAGGAAAAUGGAGUCUUCAAUCUGAUCAGGAAACAUUUAAGAAAGUGCUGGCUACCUACUGGGACAUGUCUGUUGUGUUCUGUAGGGAAGAGCUCCAGAAGCAGAGGUGGAAUUGUUAUUGGCUUGGAG